This 3410-nucleotide long non-coding RNA is filed under the name Homo sapiens (human). Its description in RNAcentral is "HSALNT0250007". Lineage: Eukaryota; Metazoa; Chordata; Mammalia; Primates; Hominidae. The record is from RNAcentral.
CCAGGGCUCUGGCUUCUUCUGGGGUCAGGCCGCUCUUCAGGGUUCUUCGCACUGCAGUGGUGGUGCAGGUCACACCCAAAGGGAUGAGAAGAAAAGGAAGUAUGAGCAGCAAGGCACAGGGCAGUCAAGACUCCAGUCCCCCCUUCUCCCCAGGGACUUCCAGAGAAGCCAGAGGGUUCACACUCUGUACCUUCCUGCUCUUGCUGAAGUGCCCUGCAGUCUGUCUGCCAGGACAAAAGUUUGGGGCUACACAGGCUGGCCUAACAAUGCCACAGGUGCUGAUUUGGAGGGCCGAGAGGAGUGAUGCGGGCACUUAUAAAGAGGAGAGAAAGGAGGAGAGGCUCACCCUCACGAGGCUUCUGAGAAGGGGGUGAACUGCAGAAGUGCAGAGGGCAGGAGAGACCUCAGCAUCUACCCAGUAUGAGGAGUGUAUCAGAGCUGGGAAGGUGAUUCCAGAGCAGGGGAAAAUGCAAGCUCCACUAAUACAAAUGAGGUGAGGCAACCAGUGCACAGCGAGGGGUUCCACAAGACCCAACAACCUCACAAAUCCAACAGACGACCAACAAUAGCUGGGGACAUGCUCAAGACCCACAGAGCAAGUGCAUGAAGCCAGGGCAAGGGGCAGCAGUGAGGACAAAUCUCUCCAUGAGUACUGUGGGUCUUAGCCUCAACUCACUAAAAGGCCUCUAGAGACAAUAAUUAAAAUAACCAGUGGCUCCUCGAGGAAUGGAGGCUAAGGAGCAAACUGCCAAACUUAUUCUGGCUGGAAUUGGUGGCUGUUUUCUAUGGAACACACAAGACUCAAGAAUGGCCAAUGACCACUCUCACUGGGGGGUUGCAGUUGGCAACUGGAGGGAUGCUCAUAUUUAACUGACUUAGAAUUGGCUUGUGUUUAGCUUGGCAUGAUGGUAUUCCCAUUGUUUAGUAUUUCAAUUUCAACAUCAAAAUAAAGGCUGGAUAAGGGUGAAUGAGGAGGUAGCUGCCUCACCCAAGACAAGUCUUCAUUUGAAAGGGUGGCUAAUUACAUUUUCCUUAAUUUACAAAUUGUAUUUGACCCACUGUGUAUUUCUUUAAAGUUCGCACAGAGUUUGGGGUAUUCAUUUUCAGAAGAGAAACGUUAUGGAUCUGCCUUCACCCUAAAUCCCUAAAUCAGCCAGAGUUCCUGAGAUGACCAGGGCAGGCUGUUGAUCAAAGUUCAGAGAAAGAAUCAGCACUUGGAACAGGGGUCAACAUAAUAUCCAUCAAUUGGUCAACCAACAAAUGAUUUAUUGAGAACCCAUUGUGUGCUCAGCAUUUAACUCAAAGAAUCAAAACACAGACAUCAAGUAUGGGUUUUUAGAGAGACAUGGGAUAUGUGGUGAGGGGUUCUCUCAAAUCGUGUUACUGCAACUACUGUAUUUCCAAGCCUACCUUUGGGCCCUGAAGCAAUCUAUCUGUAGCUGUUCUUGCACUAGCUCCUCUUUCCCCCACCCCUGAUCCCUUGGCCUCCAGACUGAAUGUUUGGCUCAACAAGACAAAAUGUUUGGCUCCUAAGUCUCAGCUGGAGACAGAUUACAUUCAACUGAGCAACAGAAUUUGUUCUAUGGGGCAGCAAUAAAAAUACUAGUUUGUAAUAACCUUUUAUGUUCUUUAAAGACUCCUUAGAGUGUUUGUUAAAGAAAGAUAAUUUUAACAACAGUAAAUAAGAUAAAAUAUCUCUCUUGACAAGAAAGACCUCUUGCUGCAACUUCUUAACCAAGAUACAAAAUACUUCCUUAAAAAGUCCAUGCUGGCCGGGCACAGUGGCUCACACCUGUAAUCCCAGCACUUUGGGAGGCUGAGGCAGGUGGAUCACUUGAGGUCAGCAGCUUGAGACCAACAUGGUGAAACUCCAUCUCUACUAAAAAUACAAAAAUUAGCCAGACAUGGUGGCACACAUCUGUAGUCCCAGCUACUCGGGAAGCUGAUGCAGAGAAUUGCUUGAACCUGGGAGGCGGAGGUUGCGGUGAGCCGAGAUGGUGCCACUGCACUCCAGCCUGGGUGACAGAGCGAGGCCCCAUCUCAAAAAAAAAAAAAAAAAAAAAAGAAAAAGAAGAAGAAGUAGUUCAUGCUGCACUAGCUGGGCAUCUUAAAAUUUCACCAGCCACAGAAGGUGGUGUGGACAUCAGUCUAUGAAUCUUUGUCCAUUUAGGUAUAUAUUGUGGCUGAAUGACUACAGAAGACCCCACAGAUAUUUUACCCAUGAAGGUAUUUAAAGAUGCUUAACAAUUCUGUUUGCACAUUUGCUUUAGUCCUGUAACUGCUCAGUUCAGUUGAUAUAAAUAUUAAUACUCGAAUAAGGGCCCGGUCACCUUACAGCUCAUGUAACAAUCUUUUAAUAGCUUCGGACAUUGAGCCAGCCUAUCUGGGACAGGCUCAGAGAACAGAACUAAAGGUACCUUUAUGGGUCUUGCUACCUGACAGCACAGAGCCUGUGCCCUCUCCCUCGUGGGUCUACUCAUGGUUUGGAUAUUCCAGACCCCUUGGGAUGCUGCUUCACCCUCUGGUCUGGGCUCAUGUGUCCUCUGCUGUGAGGGAAAAGCCAACAUAGGCUUCAUUCCCUUAGCUUGCCAGAUGUAUCCCUGAAAAGCGAGUAUUCAUGGAAAAGUCUUCCCCAUUUAUGAAAUUCUACUUUCUGUGGACCUCCAUGGCAAUUUGAAAAAAAUUCUCUUAGAUAUAUGUUAUCCCCUUGGUGUAAUGAAAAAUACCUGAGAAUCUGAAACCUUCCCUUUGUUAGCCAAAGUUAAUUCACCUCACCACUUGAAAGACCACGUGAAAUGAAAGUAAUCAGCUAAAAUCAGUCUUACACCCAAUUCAAGUCACACGCGACAAGAGCCCCUUUGGGUGUUUGGUCAACCAUCUGUCUGCUGGUCAGUUUCUUUGCCAUUCAUCAAACAUCAUGUACAUGUACACCCUGAGCCUCUGCGAUGGGAGCCUCUGGGGAGAAAGGCAGGGGCCUGAUGGGGACACAGUGUGGGGAGAAACACUCAGGGCAGCAGAUGGGGUCCAGCCAGGGAGCUGGCUCUCAGAAAGUUUCCAGAAAGCAAAAAAAAAAAAAAGGCUGGGGACAUAAGAGAACAAAACAAGGGGGCCAGCAAACAGGUGCUGGCAGGGUAUGAAAUGGUACACAGCAAACUUCCACAGCAGAAACAACUCUGCCACCCAGUAGAGAGGCUUCUCCAGCACUGUGGCAAGGUCGGCUGGCUGCGGAUGACACCUGGGCCUCUCCCGACUCCUCAUUUCCACUUCCCACUCAAAUGCUCCAGCUGAAUCAAAGCUGCUCUCCAGCCUUUCCCACGGGACGGCCUCCCCUCAAAGCUCAUAACAGAGAACAGACUGGAAAUGUUUAUCCCUGUCUGCCUUGCAACUCUGCCAUAGAUGGCAUGGGUCAC